RNAcentral lists this ribosomal RNA (497 nucleotides) under uncultured bacterium. RNAcentral's name for it is "partial 16S ribosomal RNA". It matches the Rfam family "Bacterial small subunit ribosomal RNA", at positions 28 to 507 of the family's 1533-position model. The record is from RNAcentral.
GAUGAACGCUGGCGGCGUGCCUAAUACAUGCAAGUCGAGCGAACAGACGAGGAGCUUGCUCCUCUGACGUUAGCGGCGGACGGGUGAGUAACACGUGGAUAACCUACCUAUAAGACUGGGAUAACUUCGGGAAACCGGAGCUAAUACCGGAUAAUAUAUUGAACCGCAUGGUUCAAUAGUGAAAGACGGUUUUGCUGUCACUUAUAGAUGGAUCCGCGCCGCAUUGGCUAGUUGGUAAGGUAACGGCUUAUCAAGGCAACGAUGCGUAACCGACCUGAGAGGGUGAUCGGCCACACUGGAACUGAGACACGGUCAAGACUCCUACGGGAGGCAGCAGUAGGGAAUCUUCCGCAAUGGGGGAAAGCUUGACGGAGCAACGCGGCGUGAGUGAUGAAGGUCUUCGGAUCGUAAAACUCUGUUAUUAGGGAAGAACAAAUGUGUAAGUAACUAUGCACGUCUUGACGGUACCUAAUCAGAAAGCCACGGCUAACUACGUG